UUGAAUAUACCUUAUGUUUGUGAACAAAAAUAUAGCAUUUGUUGCACAGUUUUUUUUUUCUCCUCUGAAUCUUCCAGUAGAGAAUGGCAAUCCUUGCAAAGACCUUCCUAUUAGUUUUGGGAAUCAGCAGAUGGUGUCCGACAUGCACUUAAUUUGUUUUUUCCUUCCCCCCAACUCUGGCCCCGUCUUUUUUAGGCCCUGCUAUUUUGCUGGGCUGAGCAGUAUUCCUGCCUUUCAACAUCACCCUGAAGGCUCUGACCUGUGAGUACUGAUUCACAGGCGGUGUUGGAGGCACUUUAAGAUUCCUGCCAUGUCAUCCUGUUCCUCUUCUGACACAGGCAAGAGCAGUAAUGUUCCAGUUGGGCGUUGACUUCUUCCAGGACUGGGUCAACAUUCAGGAAUUAUGAAACUAGUUGCCUCAUUUCCUCAUGAUCUGAAAACCCAAAGGCAAUUCCCUCAGGAGGAACAAGUGGGUGGCUGCCAUAUAGACACCAGCUGGAUAUCCUCAUAGUCGGAGUUUGAGAUGAGGAAAGGGUGAUGCCCCUUGAUAGCAACUUAAUGCACAUGGGGCAUUAUUCUGACACACAGUGACACACCUGGCUGUUGUUACUCCUCUUGGAUUAUUCCAUCCCUUGUACUGAGAGCAAGGCCAACCCCAACAUGAUGAAGCAAUUGGUUGGGAGGAAGGUUUCCAUAAAAGAAAGGAGAAAGAGAAUGAUGCAAUCUCCAUUUUUGUUUCUUCCUCACCUAGUUGAAUUCUAUAGCAACAUUAGCAGAAACACUAGAUCCAAGCUCAGGAUUCCCAGUUGUGGUGGUGGGAGAGGUGCCCCCAGGAAGUAUUGUAGGACUCCUGGAAGUAUACACAGGGCUAAUGCUAGGCUGCAGUUCAGCAGCAUGCGGCAAGGACCAGCAGCAGUUCUGAUUGGUUGGGGCCAACGCGAUCUGGGGCGUUAAUAUUUUAAAUAUGUCUAGAUGUAUUCUGAUAUUUAAUAUUACAUAAACAUUUUAUAUGUGGAAAAUAAAGGAGGGGAAUUUUGUAAUUCAAACUACAGGAACUGGUAGGUGAGAUGGAGUAAUGCAAAAAUCACAGUGGGAGGAAAGAAAUCCCUGGGGACCACCCCAGCAUUUGGGAUGGUGAUAGUAAGAAUUUUGCACAUAUCAGAAGGGCACAUGAGUAAAAUAUGGUUGAGAAACACUACAUAAAAUAGAGGUGGUUCUGGUUUGAUACCAGCAGGGGUGAUACAUGAAGAAAACCCAUUAUAAAUCUUCCGUGCAUGCCGUUGCGGGGUGGUGCGUUGUCAGACAUAGAGAUUGAAAUCACUCAGCCUUGUGGUCAUGAGGCGUGCCAAUGGCUUUCCUGAGUCUUUGGGGGCUCCUGAGCAGUGUUCCAGGCACCCUCGUUUGUUCUCACCAUUCUGUGAUUUCAGGCUCACGUGUUGGAAAAGGGCUUCCUGAAGUAGAGGCCCACAGAAGGCACUACAGUGUGGUGGUGAAGAGCGUGGUUUCAGUCCCAGGCAGACCCAGUCCCAGUUCCUCGGCUGCCACUCACUGGCCACAGAAUGCAAGCAAGUGACUUAAUCUCUCCGGCCUCCAGUUUCCUCUUUGGUGAGGGUCACAGGACUCACCGCAGAGGAGAGGGGAGGAGCAUUUGAGAUGAUAUACUGAUAAUGUGUUUUCCACAGGGCCUGGCCUAGAGUAGGUGCUUAGUAAGUGGUAGCUGGCACUGCCAGUGCACAGGAGUGAGAGAGCUUGUGAGUCCCACUUCAGCCACAGAAGAGGAGGCAGAAAUGCCAUGAAGGUUGAGAACUGGAAAAGGGUGAUGAUCAGGAAUAAUGACCCUAAGGAAGCAGGAGGUCUUCUGAAUCCUCGAAGAUUUCCCUGUCCCCAGUAAAUCUCCAGUCCUGAUGAAGAAAAAAAUCUUGUUUCUUGUUUUCGAGAGUGUCAGAAGUAGCUGGAAAGAUGUGUCCUGUGCCUAGCCAAAGUUAGGAGAAGAGAAAACACCUAGGAACCAGAGGCAAAAAGAAAAAAAAAAAACCUGGAACCUGGGGCUUGCAGAAAGGCAAAAAAAAAAAAAAAAAAAAAAAAAAAAAAUAGUAGCUGACAGUCAGCCAAGACUCGAAGUGUGGCCCCAGGGGCUUGGCCAACAAGAAGCCUGUGGCAAUUCCUGACGCAGUAGUUCUGGGAAGUUGAUUUACCCAAUAAACCUCCCUGCAUGGGCUCAGUUUAAGUUUGCAGCUUACUAUAAAUAAAUGUUUGUUCAAUGAACACAACUGAAUGGGCAGGCUAGCUUGGCUAAUAGUAUCUAUGAUUUAGCUACUCUAGAGCCUUCCAAAGGUAUCAGGUGUGCCUUAUCCAUUAGCACAGAGAGGCACAGGGCUGAGCAGGUGAAGGGAGUACACCGCUGUGGUUUGACCUGCUCAAUAUCCCUUCUUCCUGAAACAGAAUCUAUCUUUUCUUCUUGGGGAGCCACCCCUCCACUACUUUUAGCCCUUGGCUUAGGUUCUUCUUUUAAGACUCAGUUCUACCAGGAGGUAACCUCUGGUAAAUUCUCAAAUCCUAGUGCCAGGGUUAGGCAUGCGAUCAAGGCAAUAUAUCCAAGAAGCGGUAUGGGAGGCAAUUUGAGCCAAUGAGAUGCAACUCAAUACCUGGAGCCCCUGGGCCAGAGACUUGGAGUUUGUAUAUCUGCAAUUGUUGGGGUUUUGCCUUCUCUCCAAGAAAGCCUGAGUGAGGAUGAAGACAACAGGAUAAAGCAGAAACGAGAGGGAGAGAUGGAUUCCUCCUGACACCAUUUGAGCUCCUCCUUCUCCAGCUGAGCGUGAGCUAGCCCUGCAUUUUCCCGUUGCGUGGGCUCGUAAAUUCUCUUUGUGCUUGAGUGGGUUUGAGGUAAGAAGAUGAUGGUCAUGGAUUUUGCAGUACAUCUCUGUGCCUCUCAAACUCUGGGAGAUGAUUUACCCUUGAAAGAGCUCAAGGAGCAUUUCUCAAGGAUGGAUCAUAACUGACUAUUGUGUGUCUCAAGGUUGGCUCCAAACCAGCAGAAGCUGAAUAAAGAACUGUGAACUUGGAAUGACUGUGGGACGCUAGGCUCUUACUGGUCCUAACUGAAGACUUUUUCCCAACAGCGAGCAAUGGGGCUUCUUUUAACCAACUCUAUUUACAACCUUAGAUUCAUUCCGUUCUUUGCAAAGUACUGGAUUUCAACACUUAAUUAGCAAUAACCACAUGAACCUACCCUGGCAAGCCCUUUAACAACUCUGAAUUUUCCCUCUCAGUGAGCUACUACUUAAUUCAGUAAAUUUCUCCCUAUCCUGUAUUCCUGUGGCUAGCAAGUCAAUAGACUCAGCUUUUAUUUUAUUUUGAGUUGGAGUCUCGCUCUGUCAUUCAGGCUAGAGUGCAGUAGCUUCAU
Molecule: long non-coding RNA, 3403 nt
Filed under: Homo sapiens (human)
Lineage: Eukaryota; Metazoa; Chordata; Mammalia; Primates; Hominidae
Description: HSALNT0328380
Source: RNAcentral